Molecule: ribosomal RNA, 549 nt
Filed under: uncultured bacterium
Lineage: Bacteria
Description: bacterial SSU rRNA
Rfam family: Bacterial small subunit ribosomal RNA
Source: RNAcentral
UGGGGAAUAUUGGACAAUGGGCGAAAGCCUGAUCCAGCCAUGCCGCGUGUGUGAAGAAGGCCUUUUGGUUGUAAAGCACUUUAAGUGGGGAGGAAAAGCUUAUGGUUAAUACCCAUAAGCCCUGACGUUACCCACAGAAUAAGCACCGGCUAACUCUGUGCCAGCAGCCGCGGUAAUACAGAGGGUGCAAGCGUUAAUCGGAAUUACUGGGCGUAAAGCGCGCGUAGGUGGUUAUUUAAGUCAGAUGUGAAAGCCCCGGGCUUAACCUGGGAACUGCAUCUGAUACUGGAUAACUAGAGUAGGUGAGAGGGGAGUAGAAUUCCAGGUGUAGCGGUGAAAUGCGUAGAGAUCUGGAGGAAUACCGAUGGCGAAGGCAGCUCCCUGGCAUCAUACUGACACUGAGGUGCGAAAGCGUGGGUAGCAAACAGGAUUAGAUACCCUGGUAGUCCACGCCGUAAACGAUGUCUACCAGUCGUUGGGUCUUUUAAAGACUUAGUGACACAGUUAACGCAAUAAGUAGACCGCCUGGGGAGUACGGCCGCAAGGUUA